UACGUAGGGUGCAAGCGUUGUCCGGAAUUAUUGGGCGUAAAGAGCUCGUAGGCGGUUUGUCGCGUCUGCUGUGAAAAUCCAGGGCUUAACCUUGGACCUGCAGUGGGUACGGGCAGACUGGAGUGCGGUAGGGGAGAUCGGAAUUCCUGGUGUAGCGGUGAAAUGCGCAGAUAUCAGGAGGAACACCGGUGGCGAAGGCGGAUCUCUGGGCCGUAGCUGACGCUGAGGCGCGAAAGCCAGGGGAGCAAACGGG
This 253-nucleotide ribosomal RNA is filed under the name uncultured bacterium. Its description in RNAcentral is "partial 16S ribosomal RNA". It matches the Rfam family "Bacterial small subunit ribosomal RNA", at positions 524 to 776 of the family's 1533-position model. The record is from RNAcentral.